Long non-coding RNA from Dermacentor andersoni, 796 nucleotides. RefSeq lists it as uncharacterized. Lineage: Eukaryota; Metazoa; Arthropoda; Arachnida; Ixodida; Ixodidae. The record is from RefSeq and is a predicted model, not a curated record.
UCGGUUUAGCUGCUCGGUGCAGAUUGCAGCUGGAUAGUAGCCACCCGCAGGAGACGUUUUCCAGACGAGAACAGCUGCGACCUUGAAGAAAAAGCAAUGAGGAUUGAUCCGCAGGUGCGCAGUCCUGCCGGUGCCAUGCUCACAGAUGCGAAGCGGCACCGGCUUGUAUUUUAUACUGUUUGGUGAGGUGACGUAAGCUGAUGCCACGUUAGAGUGGUCCCAGGGAGUCGUUGCAGUGAAUGUCGGCGAUCCGUUGGUGAUGUAGCAAUGGACCAUUUCUGAAAGUUGAGCGCGCCCCCUACGCGACCGCCGCAAAUCAGGCUGGGAAUUGUGAGCGAUCUUGGCGGGCAGGAUCCGGCGCCGGAGCGGUACGACAUGGACGUCGCGCAACAGCAGAUGGCGCAUUCACGGUUGAAACCGGCCUGCUUGUGGGCCUUGAGGACAUCUUCAGAACGGCGCAGAACGGACGACGACGCCUGUACCUUUUCAUGACGUCCUCACGACAUCCUCAGAACGACACAGAACGGACGAGGACGUUUGUAUCUUUUGAGGACAUACUCAGGAUGUCGCGUGUUGUCUGGGUGACAAAUGUGAGCUCAAGCAAAAUUAGGAACAAGGUACACUGUCUGCAGAUUCAUCAGCCGGUGGAACUGCCUAAGCCAGCUCCCUGAAUCAUGAAGUGACCAAUGUGUGAUAUUAUAUUCACAAAGCAAAUCUCUACAAGGUGCCUUAGGGACAUUUUGCUUAUGUAGCUGUGUUAUUGAUUUGAUUUAUUAAAAACUGUUUGAAACCUUUG